GACGAACGCUGGCGGCGUGCUUAACACAUGCAAGUCGAACGGAAAGGCCCUGCUUUUGUGGGGUGCUCGAGUGGCGAACGGGUGAGUAACACGUGAGUAACCUGCCCUUGACUUUGGGAUAACUUCAGGAAACUGGGGCUAAUACCGGAUAGGAGCUCCUGCUGCAUGGUGGGGGUUGGAAAGUUUCGGCGGUUGGGGAUGGACUCGCGGCUUAUCAGCUUGUUGGUGGGGUAGUGGCUUACCAAGGCUUUGGCGGGUAGCCGGCCUGAGAGGGUGACCGGCCACAUUGGGACUGAGAUACGGCCCAGAAUCCUACGGGAGGCAGCAGUGGGGAAUAUUGCACAAUGGGCGGAAGCCUGAUGCAGCAACGCCGCGUGCGGGAUGACGGCCUUCGGGUUGUAAACCGCUUUCGCCUGUGACGAAGCGUGAGUGACGGUAAUGGGUAAAGAAGCACCGGCUAACUACGUG
This 468-nucleotide ribosomal RNA is filed under the name uncultured bacterium. Its description in RNAcentral is "partial 16S ribosomal RNA". It matches the Rfam family "Bacterial small subunit ribosomal RNA", at positions 28 to 507 of the family's 1533-position model. The record is from RNAcentral.